This 298-nucleotide signal recognition particle RNA is filed under the name Saimiri boliviensis boliviensis (Bolivian squirrel monkey). RNAcentral describes it as "Metazoan signal recognition particle RNA (ENSSBOG00000007161.1)". It matches the Rfam family "Metazoan signal recognition particle RNA". Rfam says of the family: The signal recognition particle (SRP) is a universally conserved ribonucleoprotein. It is involved in the co-translational targeting of proteins to membranes. Lineage: Eukaryota; Metazoa; Chordata; Mammalia; Primates; Cebidae. The record is from RNAcentral.
GCGGGCAUGGUGGUGCGUGCCUGUAGUCCCAGCCACUCGGGAGGCUGAGGUGGGAGGAUCGCUUGGGCCCAGGAGUUCUGGGCUGUAGUGCGCUAUGCUGAUUGGGUGUCUGCACUAAGUUCGGCAUCGAUAUGUUGAGCUCCCGGGAGCAGGGAACCACGAUGUUGCCUAAGGCAGGGUGAACCGGCCCAGGUCGGAAAGAAGCAGGUCAAAACUCCCGAUGCUGAUCAGUAGUGGGAUCGCGCUUGUGAAUAGCCACUGCACUCCAGCCUGGGCAACAUGGCAAGACCCUGUCUCU